GACGAACGCUGGCGGCGUGCUUAACACAUGCAAGUCGAACGGAAAGGCCCUGCUUUUGUGGGGUGCUCGAGUGGCGAACGGGUGAGUAACACGUGAGUAACCUGCCCUUGACUUUGGGAUAACUUCAGGAAACUGGGGCUAAUACCGGAUAGGAGCUCCUGCUGCAUGGUGGGGGUUGGAAAGUUUCGGCGGUUGGGGAUGGACUCGCGGCUUAUCAGCUUGUUGGUGGGGUAGUGGCUUACCAAGGCUUUGACGGGUAGCCGGCCUGGGAGGGUGACCGGCCAAAAUGGGACUGAGAUACGGCCCAGACUCCUACGGGGGGGAACAGGGGGGAAUAUUGCACAAUGGGGGGAAGCCUGAUUCAGCAACCCCGGGUGCGGGGUGACGGCCUUCGGGGUGUAAACCCCUUUCGCCCGUGAAGAAGCGGGGGGGAAGGGAAUGGGUAAAGAAGCACCGGCUAAAUUAGUG
RNAcentral lists this ribosomal RNA (468 nucleotides) under uncultured bacterium. RNAcentral describes it as "partial 16S ribosomal RNA". It matches the Rfam family "Bacterial small subunit ribosomal RNA", at positions 28 to 507 of the family's 1533-position model. The record is from RNAcentral.